CCCAUUUCCAUGCAUGGAGAUUUCAGUAAUACCCGGUUACAGAAACUCAGAGUUCAGGCAAUUUGUUUUGUAACAAAGCUACUUUGAAAACACAGCGGUCUCAUCUGAACAAGCACCAUCACUGGAUGGCAUUGUAUAGCAAUUUUGCCUUGAUGUACUCUCACACGUACCCUCAUAAGGUCAAGCUACUGUACUCGCUACAGCGACGCAUAAAAGAAUUUACUUUGUUGUUUAGAGCUUUUUAUUAUCAUCUGCAUAUUUGUGUUCUGUCACAGUGACACAAAAUGUAUCACAAAAUGCAGUCAUCCAUUUCCAAAAUAACUUUUUCUUCCAAAGCAUUUAUGGUUUGACUUUGACCUAGACACCAAAGCAGAAGAGACCUACUGACUGGAGGCAUUAUUUAUGAGAGGCUUUUAAAGAACACAAUAGAAAUUCAGUCAGAAAAUUAUACGGAAAGGAAAGCAAAUUACAGAGAGGACAGAAGGGCACCUGGCAACUCGACAGCAAUGGUGGGUCAAGAAGGCUGCAGCGUUGUGGAGGUAAAAGUGGGGAAGGAUGGAGACUUCUAACCUACAGUUCUUCUGAUUUCUGUUGUUACAAGACCUGCUCUUAAACUCAUCAAGCCCUGAAGUGCAUUGAUCUCAGCUUGAGCUCUGUGUUUGGAGGGCUGGAAAAUCAUGCCAGCAGUUACUCCAGCACCAGUAUAAGUGGUCAUGUUCACUUCUCUUCCCUGAAGAGCUGGGGAAUUAUGAAGGAGCCCCUACCCUGGAGUCAUCCAGGUUCCUCUUACCUGUCCUGUCUGCCUGCGCUUCCUCCUCAGAGGAGCAGCUUUCCUUUCAGAGUGCCUGCGCUUUCUCCUGGGGGGGACAAUUGUGCCACUUGUACCAAACAAGAUGAUCCCAGACU
This is a long non-coding RNA of Hirundo rustica (Barn swallow), 906 nucleotides long. RefSeq lists it as uncharacterized. The transcript has 4 exons. NCBI's taxonomy places the organism in Eukaryota, Metazoa, Chordata, Aves, Passeriformes, Hirundinidae. The record is from RefSeq and is a predicted model, not a curated record.